CGACCCUUUUUAAGCCGAGGGUCACCUAGCCAACUGACGUUGUUAGUGAACCUCUAUUUGUUCACACUUGUAUAUGGCCAGUCACGAUCAUUGUGGCUGGCCUUUUUUCU
RNAcentral lists this small RNA (110 nucleotides) under Vibrio hangzhouensis. RNAcentral's name for it is "Qrr RNA". It matches the Rfam family "Qrr RNA". From Rfam's summary of the family: This family represents a set of small RNAs (the Qrr RNAs) that are thought to be involved in the regulation of quorum sensing in Vibrio species. Lineage: Bacteria; Pseudomonadati; Pseudomonadota; Gammaproteobacteria; Vibrionales; Vibrionaceae. The record is from RNAcentral.